Ornithorhynchus anatinus (platypus) is the source of this 138-nucleotide small nucleolar RNA. Lineage: Eukaryota; Metazoa; Chordata; Mammalia; Monotremata; Ornithorhynchidae. The record is from RefSeq and is a predicted model, not a curated record.
CACCUCUCUGGGUUGCAUCUGAAGAGUUUCCAGUACUCUACCAGUCUUGACUGAAGGAGGGAGAAGCAAGCAGAGGCAUAUCCAUUCCAUCCCUAGCUCGGGCAGUGGCUAGCGAGUGGGAGACAGUCUGCUACAAGU